RNAcentral lists this ribosomal RNA (380 nucleotides) under uncultured eukaryote. RNAcentral describes it as "partial 18S ribosomal RNA". It matches the Rfam family "Eukaryotic small subunit ribosomal RNA", at positions 592 to 976 of the family's 1831-position model. The record is from RNAcentral.
CAAUAGCGUAUAUUAAAGUUGUUGCAGUUAGAACGCUCGUAGUCGGAUUUCGGGGCGGGCCGACCGGUCUGCCGAUGGGUAUGCACUGGUCGGCGCGUCCUUCCUUCCGGAGACCGUCCCUACUCUUAACUGAGCGGGGGCGGGAGACGGGACUUUUACUUUGAAAAAAUCAGAGUGUUUCAAGCAGGCAGCUCGCUCUUGCAUGGAUUAGCAUGGGAUAAUGAAAUAGGACUUUGGUGCUAUUUUGUUGGUUUCGAACACCGAAGUAAUGAUGAGAAGGGACAGUCAGGGGCACUCGUAUUCCGCCGAGAGAGGUGAAAUUCUCAGACCAGCGGAAGACGAACCACUGCGAAAGCAUUUGCCAGGGAUGUUUNCACUGG